AUUGAACGCUGGCGGCAGGCCUAACACAUGCAAGUCGAACGGUAACAGGAAGAAGCUUGCUUCUUUGCUGACGAGUGGCGGACGGGUGAGCAAUGUCUGGGAAACUGCCUGAUGGAGGGGGAUAACUACUGGAAACGGUAGCUAAUACCGCAUAACGUCGCAAGACCAAAGAGGGGGACCUUCGGGCCUCUUGCCAUCGGAUGUGCCCAGAUGGGAUUAGCUAGUAGGUGGGGUAACGGCUCACCUAGGCGACGAUCCCUAGCUGGUCUGAGAGGAUGACCAGCCACACUGGAACUGAGACACGGUCCAGACUCCUACGGGAGGCAGCAGUGGGGAAUAUUGCACAAUGGGCGCAAGCCUGAUGCAGCCAUGCCGCGUGUAUGAAGAAGGCCUUCGGGUUGUAAAGUACUUUCAGCGGGGAGGAAGGGAGUAAAGUUAAUACCUUUACUCAUUGACGUUACCCGCAGAAGAAGCACCGGCUAACUCCGUG
RNAcentral lists this ribosomal RNA (490 nucleotides) under uncultured bacterium. Its description in RNAcentral is "partial 16S ribosomal RNA". It matches the Rfam family "Bacterial small subunit ribosomal RNA", at positions 30 to 507 of the family's 1533-position model. The record is from RNAcentral.